This 92-nucleotide transfer RNA is filed under the name Candidatus Lumbricidiphila eiseniae. RNAcentral's name for it is "Candidatus Lumbricidophila eiseniae tRNA-Ser". It matches the Rfam family "tRNA". From Rfam's summary of the family: Transfer RNA (tRNA) molecules are approximately 80 nucleotides in length. Their secondary structure includes four short double-helical elements and three loops (D, anti-codon, and T loops). Further hydrogen bonds mediate the characteristic L-shaped molecular structure. tRNAs have two regions of fundamental functional importance: the anti-codon, which is responsible for specific mRNA codon recognition, and the 3' end, to which the tRNAs corresponding amino acid is attached (by aminoacyl-tRNA synthetases). tRNAs cope with the degeneracy of the genetic code in two manners: having more than one tRNA (with a specific anti-codon) for a particular amino acid; and 'wobble' base-pairing, i.e. permitting non-standard base-pairing at the 3rd anti-codon position. Lineage: Bacteria; Bacillati; Actinomycetota; Actinomycetes; Micrococcales; Microbacteriaceae. The record is from RNAcentral.
GGAGUCGUCGCAUAGUCCGGCCUCGUGCACCACCCUGCUAAGGUGGAGAACCCUCACGGGUUCCGAGGGUUCAAAUCCCUCCGUCUCCGCAA